This 493-nucleotide ribosomal RNA is filed under the name uncultured bacterium. Its description in RNAcentral is "partial 16S ribosomal RNA". It matches the Rfam family "Bacterial small subunit ribosomal RNA", at positions 29 to 507 of the family's 1533-position model. The record is from RNAcentral.
AACGAACGCUGGCGGCGCGUCUUAAACAUGCAAGUCGAACGGCAGCAAGGUGCUUGCUCCUUCUGAGAGUGGCGGACUGGCGAGUAACACGUGGGUGACAUACCUUUUAGUUUGUGAUAGCUAUUAGCAUUAGGAGGCUAAACCUAAUACCGCCGUACCUCUUCGGGGGGUACGAGGAAAGCUGCUAAGCUUUCGCGAAAAGAUUGGCUGGCGGCCCAUUAUGCUCGUUGGUGGGGUAACGGCCCACCAAGGCGAUGAUGGGUAUCCGGCCUGAGAGGGUGAACGGACACAUUGGGACUGAGAUACGGCCCAGACUUCUACGGGAGGCAGCAGUUAAGAAUAUUCCGCAAUGGACGAAAGUCUGACGGAGCGACGCCGCGUGGAUGAAGAAUGCCGAAAGGUUGUAAAAUCCUUUUAAGCCUGAUGAAUAAGCACAGUAGGGAAUGAUUGUGCGGUGACCGUAGGGCUUGAAUAAGCACCGGCUAAUUACGUG